This 492-nucleotide ribosomal RNA is filed under the name uncultured bacterium. RNAcentral describes it as "partial 16S ribosomal RNA". It matches the Rfam family "Bacterial small subunit ribosomal RNA", at positions 30 to 507 of the family's 1533-position model. The record is from RNAcentral.
AGUGAACGCUGGCGGUAGGCCUAACACAUGCAAGUCGAACGGCAGCACAGUACGAGCUUGCUCUUACGGGUGGCGGAUGGCGGACGGGCGAGGAAUACAUCGGAAUCUACUCUUUCGUGGGGGAUAAGGUAGCGGAACUUACGAUCAUACAGGAGCCGCUCUACGGGUGAAGGCAGGGGAAAUUCGGACCUUGCGCGGUUGAACUAGCCGAUGUCGGAUUAGUUAGUUGGCGGGGUAAAGGCCCACCAAGGCGACGAUCCGCAGCUGGUGUGAGAGGAUGGUCGGCCACACUGGAAGUUGGACAGGCACCAUACGACUACGGGAGGCAGCAGAGGGGAAUAUGGGACAGUGGGCGCAAGUCUGAUCCAGCCAGACCGAGUGGGUGGAGAAGGCCUUCGGGGUGUAAAGCCCGUUUGUGGGUAAAGAAAAGCAGCAGGUUAAUACCCCGCGUUUCUGACGGUAAUCAGAGAAGAAGCACCGGCUAACUUCGUG